RNAcentral lists this unclassified non-coding RNA (262 nucleotides) under plant metagenome. Its description in RNAcentral is "partial contains small subunit ribosomal RNA, internal transcribed spacer 1, and 5.8S ribosomal RNA". The record is from RNAcentral.
UCUCCGUUGGUGAACCAGCGGAGGGAUCAUUACCGAGUUUACAACUCCCAAACCCCCUGUGGACUUAUACCAUUUACUGUUGCUUCGGCCCGUCAUGGCCCCGGGGCCGGACAGCGUACGCCGUCGAGCCUCGGCUGCCCGGCCCCGGAAACAGGCGCCCGCCGGGGAACUCAAACUCUUCUGUAUUUCUUUAUCUAAUAUAUACUGUCAGAGUAAAAACUAAAAUGAAUCAAAACUUUCAACAACGGACCUCUUGGUUCUG